UUUCUGUCAAUCAUUGAUGUAACAUCAACUAUAAUGAGUGACACACCAUCAACAAUAACAAGUAGUGUACAACUCUCAACUGCUACAAGCUGUAAUUUAACAUGUACAGGAUCCAUCAUCAGUUCUGUUGCUAUUGCAGUAC
Molecule: long non-coding RNA, 142 nt
Organism: Amphimedon queenslandica
Lineage: Eukaryota; Metazoa; Porifera; Demospongiae; Haplosclerida; Niphatidae
Exons: 3
Source: RefSeq, a predicted model, not a curated record